AGACCAUAGAUGCUGCUCUCAGUGCGCUGCUUAUUUUUGAAUGAAAAAUGGGCACCCUCGCACUUCCCCCACUUUCCUUAGUAUUCUUCUUAAGUUAACUUCAUGUGAUUCAUGGCGGUUUCUCACCCUUCUAUGCGAAGCUGCUCCCAUUUGUGCUUUUUCUAAAACCUUACUUUCCCUUCAGCUAUGUUCGAUUUUUUAGAGCACACUGCUUUCCAUCUUCUUUUUCUCCGUCUAUGGAGUUUGAGUUGGGUCAAAUUUAGAUUUCAUCUUCAUUGAAGACUUUAUAGUUAUUCAAAGGUUGGCGGAAAUGGAGGGAGGGGUGAGGAGAAAUGGGGUGCAGGUGGGUCCGGUGAGAUUCAUCGUAUGGACGGAGCCUUCAGGCAAGCAUUGCAUGCAGAGGCAGCAAGGUACAAAGGUUCCAGUUGUAAAUUAUCUCUGCAAGAAUAGCCUUUUGGAGCACCCCCAUUUCAUUGAAGUUCCUUCUCCUCGCCCGAAGGUCUCUACCUAAGAGAUGUGAUUAGUCGUCUGGUUGUUUUGAGAGUAAAUCACAUGCCCGCCAUGUAUUCGUGGUCUUGUAAGGAGCUACUGAAAUGGAUUUGUGUGGCAGGAACUUGCUGAGGAUGAUCUAAUCAUACCAGCCCAAGGAAAUGAUCACAUCCUUAAGGGCUCAUUGCUCCUGAAUGAGGGUUCUGCAGAAGGAAAACUAUCAUUUGUUGCAUCUUAUUUGUGGAACAAUAAUAUUUAACAACAUAUCUGGUCAUGAUUGCUUUCUUUGUUGAAUGCCGUGAAAAGUGGGGGAGAAACAUGCAACACUUGAGGUCUAUAGCUUUCAGAUGAAACACGAGCUAGUUGUGUUUUAUGAUCUUUAUUUUUCUUCAUAGUGUUUUGGGGUGAGGCUUAUUAUGUAUUUUCUUUUUAACAUUUAAGGCAUGUUUGGAUUGCUGAAAAAGGAAUGCAGUGCAAA
Phalaenopsis equestris is the source of this 967-nucleotide long non-coding RNA. RefSeq lists it as uncharacterized. The transcript has 4 exons. NCBI's taxonomy places the organism in Eukaryota, Viridiplantae, Streptophyta, Magnoliopsida, Asparagales, Orchidaceae. The record is from RefSeq and is a predicted model, not a curated record.